This 573-nucleotide ribosomal RNA is filed under the name Triticum aestivum (bread wheat). RNAcentral's name for it is "partial small subunit ribosomal RNA". The record is from RNAcentral. Lineage: Eukaryota; Viridiplantae; Streptophyta; Magnoliopsida; Poales; Poaceae.
AUGAGGAGCUCCCUCCUAAAGAAGUUUCACCAGAUAUUCUUGUUCCCGGGACAGAAUGAGAAGGAUUAUAAAGAUCCAGAUGAGGACCCGGCAAUGAAGAAGAUAAACAAACACGCCAUGACCAAGUUUAGCGACGCGUUGGCCGCGUGGAAAAAUCGAGUGAAAGCAAGGAUCAUCGACAAGAAGGAACCCUACUCCGAGAUUGUAAAGGAUAAUCCGACAAUCACGGAAGAGCAGUUUCAAAUACUCAAGGAGGCUUGCGAGGCCGAAGAUGCCAAUAAAAAGUCUAAGUACAUGAAGGGGCUUCAAGAGAGGAACAUUGGGAGCCACCACCUCGGAAGCCGUGGUUACGACGGAAAGAGGUCCAAAUGGGCCAAGGAGGACGCAGAAGCAGCGAGUCUGGGCAUCCCAGACCCCUUGGUGAAGUUCACCAUCCCGCAGGAGCAUGACGUCCUCAGGGCCCGGCACCGUUGGGACCCAGUGAAAAAGGUUUACGAGACAACACCGGUCAUUACGGAGUUCAUGAGACUGCUGGUAAUUUUAGUUUCUGAUCAAUUCGACUGCACAUGUUAG